CCUGGGGAUCUUGCUAAAAAUGCAGAUUCUGAUUCUUAUUUCUGGAGUGGGGCCUGAGAAUCUGCAUUUCUAACAAGUUCCCAGGUAAUGCUGAUGCUGCUGGUCUGUGGCCCGUGCUUUGACU
Molecule: microRNA precursor, 124 nt
Filed under: Chlorocebus sabaeus (green monkey)
Lineage: Eukaryota; Metazoa; Chordata; Mammalia; Primates; Cercopithecidae
Description: miRNA (ENSCSAG00000025172.1)
Rfam family: mir-544 microRNA precursor family (bases 1-95)
Source: RNAcentral